CCCCAGAAAGACUAUCUGGUUGAUAGGUCGAAGGUGUAAGUGCAGCAAUGUAUUUAGCUUAUCGAUACUAAUAGGUCGAGGACUUGACCAAUAUUUAUU
Molecule: ribosomal RNA, 99 nt
Filed under: Clostridioides difficile
Lineage: Bacteria; Bacillati; Bacillota; Clostridia; Peptostreptococcales; Peptostreptococcaceae
Description: partial 23S ribosomal RNA
Rfam family: Bacterial large subunit ribosomal RNA
Source: RNAcentral